GUCAGCAGCCGCGGUAACACCGGCGGCCCGAGUGGUGAUCGUGAUUAUUGGGUCUAAAGGGUCCGUAGCCGGUUUGGUCAGUCCUCCGGGAAAUCUGAUAGCUCAACUAUUAGGCUUUCGGGGGAUACUGCCAGACUUGGAACCGGGAGAGGUAAGAGGUACUACAGGGGUAGGAGUGAAAUCUUGUAAUCCCUGUGGGACCACCUGUGGCGAAGGCGUCUUACCAGAACGGGUUCGACGGUGAGGGACGAAAGCUGGGGGCACGAACCGGAUUAGAUACCCGGGUAGUCCCAGCCGUAAACGAUGCUCGCUAGGUGUCAGGCAUGGCGCGACCGUGUCUGGUGCCGCAGGGAAGCCGUGAAGCGAGCCACCUGGGAAGUACGGCCGCAAGGCUGAAACUUAAAGGAAUUGGCGGGGGAGCACAACAACGGGUGGAAGCCUGCGGUUUAAUUGGACUCAACGCCGGACAACUCACCGGGGGCGACAGCAAUAUGUAGGCCAAGCUGAAGACUUUGCCUGAAUCGCUGAGGAGUGGUGCAUGG
This 542-nucleotide ribosomal RNA is filed under the name uncultured archaeon. Its description in RNAcentral is "bacterial SSU rRNA". It matches the Rfam family "Archaeal small subunit ribosomal RNA", at positions 457 to 997 of the family's 1478-position model. The record is from RNAcentral.